RNAcentral lists this ribosomal RNA (564 nucleotides) under Triticum aestivum (bread wheat). Its description in RNAcentral is "partial small subunit ribosomal RNA". Lineage: Eukaryota; Viridiplantae; Streptophyta; Magnoliopsida; Poales; Poaceae. The record is from RNAcentral.
AUGUGUAAGGCCAAGCGAGAAGGAGGAAUGGGCUUUCGUGAUCCAGAGGCGUUCAUCCUAGCCUUGUUGGCCAAACAAGCUUGGUGCGUUUUACAGUACCCAAAUUCAUUGUGUGCUAGGGUGCUCAAAGCAAGAUAUUUCCCUGAGGGAUCAAUUAUGAAUGCCACAUGCCCUAAUGGAGGAUCGUUUACAUUCAGAAGCAUUGUACAUGGCCGAGAACUUCUGCGGGAAGUAGUAGUCUGGAGGAUUGGUGAUGGCACAUCUAUGAAGAUCCACCACGACAACUGGCUUCCGCGCCAGGGCAGCCUCAAGCCGCUUGGGCAACAGUACAUUGCAGGUAUUACUCAUGUACGCCAUCUCUUGGAUGAAUCAGGCGUUGCAUGGAAUAUGGGCAAAGUGGAGAGGAUGUUUACUCCCAGGGAUGUUGAGGAUAUAAAGCAGAUUGUGGUGGGCGGGCCGAACAUGAGGGAUUACAUUGCAUGGAAUUUCACCAACAACGGACAAUUUUUAGUCAAGUCUACGUAUCACCGAUGCAUGAGUUUGAAUGGCGUCAAGACCGGAUAG